ACAAAAAGGAUGAACGAAGGUGGUCCACCAAAUUUUGGAGCAAGUGCAAACGGGGGGAAGGUUGGGCUCGGCUAACACAAUUAAAUUCAGGUUAAAGAUUGUUUUUUCAUUGGAAAAAAAGGCAAAUCCGAUCGAGCUCCAGGUAUGAGGCAGAUGUGGGAAACAAGAUAGGAAGAUGAUGAUCUGAUCCUCUUCCUCUUCGAUCUCAUCUUGUCCAUGCUUGUUAUCGCCCGCACGACGACCGUCACGCCCAGUCACAUCUAAGUGGCGAGUUAAGUUUGGGAAUGGAAGCGGGACUUUUGAGAAGGAGAGUACCAAUCCGGAUAGGCAGAUAUGCACACCGUCCAGUCGCCAGGUGAGCUAGUGGAGGUGAUCUUGGAAAGCUAGCGUGGAGGAAGAUUUAAUAUAGAACUUCAAUGAGUUUGAACUGCAGCAACAGGAUUUCGAAAUCGCAAGUAUUUCAUACUGUUCUUGCAAUAGAAGAUUAAAGCUAUGCCACUGAGAAACACUACAAGAGGAAUACAAAAAAUUGAGUGUAUGGUUGUGAAUCCGAAUAGGGCCUGCAGAUUGGAGCUUAUAAUGCCAUGACAUGUUUCAUAUACAUGUCUCCAAACUUGCAUGUUCUUGAACACUUUUUUAACCUUGUCUAGGCAAAUUAUUAGGAGUUGAAUAUAUGAAUUUUAUCCAUUUGUAUUCAAUGAUAAAUCUUAAAUGAUUCAGAUAGUUGAUGAUAUUGUUUUAA
Zingiber officinale is the source of this 742-nucleotide long non-coding RNA. RefSeq lists it as uncharacterized. NCBI's taxonomy places the organism in Eukaryota, Viridiplantae, Streptophyta, Magnoliopsida, Zingiberales, Zingiberaceae. The record is from RefSeq and is a predicted model, not a curated record. The transcript is spliced from 3 exons.